CGGCGAAGCAGGAAAAGGAGAACCAUCCAGGCUCCUAUUCUCACCCUCAAAAGGGAUUAGGACUUUGCUCAGUUCAAAUGAAAACUCUAAUUUUCAGAAAGUAAAUUACCUAUCUUAAACAGGCUUCCACAGUUCCCUAUCUCACCUUACCCAACCAAAUAAGACCUAAAUAUAUAAGCUAGAUAAGAGAAGUGGAAGAAAUAGCCUUUAACUUCCCACUUAAAGUUUCCCCAACUCGCCUAGACCUAAAUAUAUAACACAUCAACUUCAAUCCAUCAAAUAACGAUUCAUGCAAUAUUUAUUACUAAAAAAAACAUCCUGGCAUCAAACCAAAGAUUACCCUAAAAAUGUUAUGAGAAUCAUAAACUACAUACCAUAGCC
Molecule: unclassified non-coding RNA, 381 nt
Filed under: Hevea brasiliensis (rubber tree)
Lineage: Eukaryota; Viridiplantae; Streptophyta; Magnoliopsida; Malpighiales; Euphorbiaceae
Source: RNAcentral